This is a non-coding RNA of Brachypodium distachyon (stiff brome), 125 nucleotides long. NCBI's taxonomy places the organism in Eukaryota, Viridiplantae, Streptophyta, Magnoliopsida, Poales, Poaceae. The record is from Rfam.
AAUCUACUUCCUCCGUUCCAUAAUUCUUGUCGAAAUAUUACGUGUAUCUAAACGCUAUUUAGUAAUAGAUACAUUCAUCUUUAAGCAAAUUUGAGACGAGAAUUAUGAAACGGAGGAAGUAUUAU